CCCCGUAAGAAUGCAGUCUAACGCCCACACAAAGAUGAAGCAAUUCAGGACUAUCACUCUUUGUUGCAUUCAGCUAACAAUACACACAUACAAAGGUAUUUGUGAGUAGAAAUCAAACUGGAUGGUCUUCGAAGGAUAGAUAGGAGGGGUUGAGGAUAUGGGAUUAAAAGCAAACAAAAGGUGCACCUGCCGCUCAUGGCGGUUCUUUGAGAAAGAGGAGAGAACCAUUCGGGAGAAGCUCCAGGCCCAGCUCCAUCCUCCCAGCAGCCACCACCAGUUAGCUACCAAGCCAACAGAAGCAGCAAUGAAUCAGCACAGAUGAGAAGUAGACAAAUAGAAACAGAUGGAAAGAAGCAGACGGAAUGAAGCAGAAGGAAGAAGCAGACGGAAGGAAACAGGCGGAAAAAGCAGAUGGAAAGAAGCAGACGGAAGAAGCAGACGGAAAGAAGCAGACGAGCGCCAACGUGUCCUCCACAAGGAGCAACACCACACUCACAGGAAGUUUCGAAAGCUUCAGUCGGCACGCGGGCAACUGUUCUUAUGUGGAUGUUAGGGGUGGCCUUGACACGACUACUAGAACUACUAGAACCAUUCCUUGAGUGCACUACAACUGAACAUCUGCUCUACAGGCCUACGUUACAGUGGGAGCAUUAAAAAGGACUUGACCAGUAUAGCAUUUUCAGUAUUGUUUUAUUUCAUUAUUCAUUUUUUCCCCCUUUCAACAAGUUAUUUUGACUAUUUGCUACCUUUAAAAAAAAUACUUUGUCUGUCAUUAAUCUCCUAAAGUUAUUCCAGUCUCAGACUCCUCUCUGACUGAACCAUUUUUAAUGCUGCUCAUCAAACGUGCUUACCAUUAGCUUACCUACUAGAAGCUUGACAAGAGACAAAUGAUAAAAAAAGAGGAAGGAGAUGUGGGCAGGGAAACGAGCG
RNAcentral lists this long non-coding RNA (930 nucleotides) under Salmo salar (Atlantic salmon). Its description in RNAcentral is "lncRNA (ENSSSAG00000115728.1)". The record is from RNAcentral. Lineage: Eukaryota; Metazoa; Chordata; Actinopteri; Salmoniformes; Salmonidae.